Molecule: long non-coding RNA, 335 nt
Organism: Sinocyclocheilus anshuiensis
Lineage: Eukaryota; Metazoa; Chordata; Actinopteri; Cypriniformes; Cyprinidae
Exons: 3
Source: RefSeq, a predicted model, not a curated record
GAACGGCAUGAGAGCUCUGGGAAGAAUCUGGAUGGUUCCAUAGGGUUUUCCUUGACAUAAAGCGACUGGUUGAAAUGGACCAAAUUACUGCAUAGACAACAAUGCACAAGCCCUUUCUCAGGGAAAACCACAGUCUGGUGAGAGAGCGCAAGAUUGUGCAUGCAGUUAUGAGAUCUGCACAAAGAAGACGACAAUAAUACAACAGACGUGCGGUAAACAGUUGGCAGUAUCUCUGCUGAGAAAAAUGGGAGACUGAGUGAGAAAGAGAGACGGAGGGAGAAAAAUCGAGCUGCAGCAGUAUCCCUACACUGCUGAGGCUUGGACUGCGUGACUGC